GGAGGGUGCAAGCGUUAUCCGGAUUCACUGGGUUUAAAGGGUGCGUAGGUGGGCAGGUAAGUCCGCGGUGAAAUCCCCGAGCUUAACUUGGGAACUGCCGUUGAUACUAUCUGUCUUGAAUAUCGUGGAGGUAAGCGGAAUAUGUCAUGUAGCGGUGAAAUGCUUAGAGAUGACAUAGAACACCAAUUGCGAAGGCAGCUUGCUACACGAUAAUUGACACUGAGGCACGAAAGCGUGGGGAGCAAACGGGAUUAGAUACCCCGGUAGUCCACGCCCUAAACGAUGAGAGCUGGGUGUUGGUGGGAUUUCCCAUCUGUGCCGAAGCUAACGCGUUAAGCUCUCCGCCUGGGGACUACGAACGCAAGUUUA
This 369-nucleotide ribosomal RNA is filed under the name uncultured bacterium. Its description in RNAcentral is "bacterial SSU rRNA". It matches the Rfam family "Bacterial small subunit ribosomal RNA", at positions 527 to 896 of the family's 1533-position model. The record is from RNAcentral.